Molecule: long non-coding RNA, 264 nt
Filed under: Bos indicus x Bos taurus (hybrid cattle)
Lineage: Eukaryota; Metazoa; Chordata; Mammalia; Artiodactyla; Bovidae
Description: lncRNA (ENSBIXG00005021380.1)
Source: RNAcentral
GAGACAUACAUUUAAAGACAAUGUGGUUUUUGUGUAUUUGAGACUGUUCCAAAUCAAUUUAUUUAUAGAGCAUUUGUCUUCCACAAGAUGACUUACAGUGCAGCUUGACUUUGGCAACUGCCAGCUGAGAAGCAGAGUUGGUGACUAACCAUUGCAUCAAGGCCCGGGAAGUUGGUUGUCUACUUUCCUCUCCUGACUGCAGUCAGGCCGGCAGCCAGAAAAAGCCCAGUAUCUCCCUCCAUCGUUUCCUGCAGCCUCCACGCA